Callithrix jacchus (white-tufted-ear marmoset) is the source of this 300-nucleotide unclassified non-coding RNA. It matches the Rfam family "Metazoan signal recognition particle RNA". From Rfam's summary of the family: The signal recognition particle (SRP) is a universally conserved ribonucleoprotein. It is involved in the co-translational targeting of proteins to membranes. Lineage: Eukaryota; Metazoa; Chordata; Mammalia; Primates; Cebidae. The record is from Ensembl.
GCCAGGCAUGGUGGCACGUGGCUGUAGUCUCAGCUACUCGGGAGGCUGAGGUGGGAGAAUCACUUGGGCCCAGGAGUUCUGGGCUGUAGUGCGCUAUGCUGAUCGGGUGUCCACACGAAGUUCAGCAUCACUAUGGUGACCUCCCAGGAGCAGAGGACCACCAGGUUGCCUAAGGAGGGGUGAAGCGGUCCAGGUUGGAAAUGGAGCAGGUCAAAACUCCCAUGCUGAUCAGUAGUGGGAUCGUGCCUGUGAAUAGCCACUGCACUCCAGCCUGGGCAACAUAGCGAGACCCCGUCUCUU